UUAUUAUUCAGAAAAGUAUGAGACAAAAUCAUUUACAAAUUGUGUGAGCUACAACUAAAGGCUCAUUAGUACGAUCAAAAAUAGUGUCUUUCAUGAAAUCAACCAAAAUUUGUUUGAACACUUGUUAAGAUUUACAUAAAAACUACUACUGGUCAUGAUCACAUUGACUAAUAUAUUUUUGCAGUAGUAUAUAGAAGCUAAUACUUAUUGUAUUCAAAUCAAAUAAAUAAGACCAAUACCUAAGCAAAUUUGUCCAUACCUAGUUGAGCACAAAUAGAUCACUAUUCCAUUACACAAAUGAUUUUUUAGCUGCAAUCAACAAAAAUUGUCAGGAAAGUAAUCUAAAUCCAUGAAGCCAUUUAAGCAAGAGAAAGAAGACUAGAUAGAUCUGAACAACUCAUAUUAACUGAAACAAAACACAAACUUUGAGUAGAGGACAAUCUCAUUAUAUUUUCAGAGUCCUCUAUCGUCUAUACACAACGGGGUACUUUCAAAGCUUCAAUGGCCACCCAAUAGGUAAGAAGAGUACCUGGAAAUAAAAAGAAGUAAGAAGAAGGUAAGGUUUCAGUAGAGGAAUAAACAGCAGCAGCACAACAAGGCUCAGCUCAAACAAUCCAUUUCAACCAUAAAAAUGGUGUGAAUACAACCCAGAUCCAUUCUCAACCAAACAGGAAUCAAGCUGACCCCUAACCAAGCUCUUUAACAAACCAAAUUCAAACCAUUUUACCCCAAAUAAACCAGCAAUUUUCAGCACUAAAAGAAACCUCAAAAAUCAAAGUAAAUUGAGGAAACUCCAAUGGAGCUGUACAAAGUAUUUGACUCCCUGCUUUUCUGAAUUGUUUCUCUUAACCUCCCAAAAAUCAAACUAUUUCAGCCCCAGAUAAAUCAGUUCACAUUAUAGAUGUUGAAAAACCAAAAUAUCACAAAGAAGCACUCAAUGAAAAAAUUCUAUUAGAAUUCUCAGCCGCCUCAAGUUUUUCCAGAUUUCUUAGCUCUUCCGGUAUGCCUUGAAUGACAAGGAAAUGGUGCCUUUAUAGGCAAGGCCAGUAGGGAAACCUUAGGUUUUCAUUUUUACACUUUACCCCUUUUAAAUUUUCGUUUUAGCUUUGUGACCUUAGAUUUCCGACUUGUCACCCAAGUUAAACCACCCAAAAAUUAAAAUUUUCCUAAAAACCCCUACUAGAGAUUUCCGAAAUAAGUUACCAAAAGAUUACUUGACCUAGAGUUCCUAAACAACCAUGGGAUAUCUUACUAAUUACUUUCUACCCUUCAACAGCUCAUAUUCUGAAAUCUCUUUCAGGAAAGCAAAAUCUUGAAUGCUACAAAUCUUAUCAGUCAAUGCCAAACAUCAGAAUUGUUCAUGAACUAUACACACAUAUUAGUACGAUUUUCC
Molecule: long non-coding RNA, 1393 nt
Filed under: Nicotiana benthamiana
Lineage: Eukaryota; Viridiplantae; Streptophyta; Magnoliopsida; Solanales; Solanaceae
Description: long non-coding RNA (NBEN_LNC042138)
Source: RNAcentral